AAUGUAGUAGCUCAGAGACAGAGCUCCUGCCUAGGAUGCAUAUGUCCUGGGUUCAAUCCCCAGUACCAUUA
RNAcentral lists this transfer RNA (71 nucleotides) under Mus musculus (house mouse). It matches the Rfam family "tRNA". Rfam says of the family: Transfer RNA (tRNA) molecules are approximately 80 nucleotides in length. Their secondary structure includes four short double-helical elements and three loops (D, anti-codon, and T loops). Lineage: Eukaryota; Metazoa; Chordata; Mammalia; Rodentia; Muridae. The record is from Rfam by way of RNAcentral.